This 242-nucleotide ribosomal RNA is filed under the name uncultured bacterium. RNAcentral's name for it is "partial 16S ribosomal RNA". It matches the Rfam family "Bacterial small subunit ribosomal RNA", at positions 93 to 334 of the family's 1533-position model. The record is from RNAcentral.
GAGCGGCGCACGGGUGAGUAACACGUAUGCAACCUGCCCACAACAAGGGGAUAGCCCGUCGAAAGACGGAUUAAUACCCUAUAAAACAGGGACCCCGCAUGGGGGAUAUUUGUUAAAGAUUAUCGGUUGUGGAUGGGCAUGCGUUCCAUUAGCUAGUUGGUAGGGUAACGGCCUACCAAGGCAACGAUGGAUAGGGGAACUGAGAGGUUUAUCCCCCACACUGGGACUGAGACACGGCCCAG